CUUCCAGGACUCUGUCUGCUUUUGGGGUGGAAGUGCCCUGCCAAAAACUCCAGCUCUCCAUGCUGGCUGUGUGGCCAGCAUACCUCCUGCCUUUUCAACGAUUCCUCUGCCCUGGAUAGAGAGCGGUGUCUCAUAACAGUUUGGAAACUACAAAAGUUUCCCUGGCAGGAUGAAUGAUUGACUCGGCAACAUGUUCUUGCCUUUUGGAGUUGCCCUCCAAUUUUUCCAGGCUUGAUUCUGUAAAUCAUUUCAUCUUGUAAAAAUACUGGGCUGUGAGCACGGAUGAUCUCAAAGAUGAGGAAACAGAAGCUGGGAUAUGUGAGUAAACAUUUCCAAGGUCCUGCAGCUAAUCAAUGGUUGACAACUUCUUUCCUCUGCCUAUGUUGCCAUCCAUGUCAUGGUUUGUGUCAAGACUCUAGGAGAAGUCUACCAUCAGCACCACAGCUACUGUGCACAAAUCCAGAAUGCCAGACUGAAGUCAGAAGGAAAGAUGAUGCAGCUCAUUGCUGAUGCUGAGAUCCAACGUCCAGUGCCUGAGUACCCCUGGAUUCUGAGCACUAGGGGCUGGACUGUGGAGACCAUCAGUUCAUAACAUCCUGUCCCUGCUCCCUGCUGUAGAUGACUGAGACCAGGGUUCUUAAACAAGGGAGAAGCACUCUCAUACCCCUAGAACAAGAUGAACAAAAGAAGGAGGAAAAAUCUUGACCUCCGUAAGAUCCAGGAUGGCACGUGCAAGGCACUGACACAGCAUCUGCCGGCAUCACUGACUCUCCUGGACCCCAGAAGCCCAGUUCCCCAGGCUCUGAAACCCUGCAGCAAUGAAAAGGAAGCACAGGCAAACCAUAAGGAAGAUAAUUUUUCUACUAAAAAAUAAAUAGAAAUGCAUCCUUAGAGGCAGGUUUCAUGAGGACACAGAGAAUCCGGUUUUGUGUGUGCCUGAUUUCGUUUUUCUGUCAAAGAGAUACAAAACAAUCAACUGAGUUAUCUUGAACUUACAAAGAUUAAAAAUAAUCAAUUCCUGUUACUAUUUUCAAUUUUUCCCCCAUUUUACUUCUUUAGGUAUGAAGAAAUGUAGCCUAUUAAAACCUGGAUUAAUAAAAACCUUUCA
Molecule: long non-coding RNA, 1108 nt
Filed under: Homo sapiens (human)
Lineage: Eukaryota; Metazoa; Chordata; Mammalia; Primates; Hominidae
Description: long intergenic non-protein coding RNA 3007
Source: RNAcentral